UACGUUCCCGGACCUUGCACACACCGCCCGUCAAGCCAUGGGAGCCGGGUGUACCGUAAAGUCGGUAACCGCAAGGAGCUGCCUAGAGUAAAUCGGUGACUGGGGCU
This 107-nucleotide ribosomal RNA is filed under the name uncultured bacterium. RNAcentral describes it as "partial 16S ribosomal RNA". It matches the Rfam family "Bacterial small subunit ribosomal RNA", at positions 1367 to 1482 of the family's 1533-position model. The record is from RNAcentral.